This 411-nucleotide ribosomal RNA is filed under the name Verrucomicrobiota bacterium. RNAcentral describes it as "Verrucomicrobia bacterium partial 16S ribosomal RNA". It matches the Rfam family "Bacterial small subunit ribosomal RNA", at positions 355 to 776 of the family's 1533-position model. The record is from RNAcentral. Lineage: Bacteria; Pseudomonadati; Verrucomicrobiota.
UGGGGAAUAUUGCACAAUGGGCGGCAGCCAGAUGCAGCGACGCCGCGUGAGGGAUGACGGCCUUCGGGUUGUAAACCGCUUUUGAUUGGGAGCAAGCUUUCGGGUGAGUGUACCUUUCGAAUAAGCGCCGGCUAACUACGUGCCAGCAGCCGCGGUAAUACGUAGGGCGCAAGCGAUAUCCGGAAUUAUUGGGCGUAAAGAGCUUGUAGGCGGUCCGUCGCGUCUGGUGUGAAAGCCCAUCGCUUAACGGUGGGGUUGCGCCGGGUACGGGCGGGCUAGAGUGCAGUAGGGGAGACUGGAAUUCCCGGUGUAACGGUGGAAUGUGUGGAUAUCGGGAAGAACACCAAUGGCGAAGGCAGGUCUCUGGGCUGUUACUGACGCUGAGAAGCGAAAGCGUGGGGAGCGAACAGG